GUUCGGAUUGUAGUCUGCAACCCGACUACAUGAAGCUGGAAUCGCUAGUAAUCGCGGAUCAGAAUGCCGCGGUGAAUACGUUCCCGGGUCUUGUACACACCGCCCGUCACACCAUGAGAGUUGGCAAUACCCAACGUACGUGAUCUAACCCGCAAGGGAGGAAGCGUCCUAAGGUAGGGUCAGCGAUUGGGGUGAAGUCGUAACAAGGUAAC
This 212-nucleotide ribosomal RNA is filed under the name uncultured bacterium. RNAcentral's name for it is "partial 16S ribosomal RNA". It matches the Rfam family "Bacterial small subunit ribosomal RNA", at positions 1291 to 1500 of the family's 1533-position model. The record is from RNAcentral.